AACAGGAUUAGAUACCCUGGUAGUCCACGCCGUAAACGAUGUCGACUUGGAGGUUGUGCCCUUGAGGCGUGGCUUCCGGAGCUAACGCGUUAAGUCGACCGCCUGGGGAGUACGGCCGCAAGGUUAAAACUCAAAUGAACUGACGGGGGCCCGCACAAGCGGUGGAGCAUGUGGUUUAAUUCGAUGCAACGCGAAGAACCUUACCUACUCUUGACAUCCAGAGAACUUAGCAGAGAUGCUUUGGUGCCUUCGGGAACUCUGAGACAGGUGCUGCAUGGCUGUCGUCAGCUCGUGUUGUGAAAUGUUGGGUUAAGUCCCGCAACGAGCGCAACCCUUAUCCUUUGUUGCCAGCGGUUAGGCCGGGAACUCAAAGGAGACUGCCAGUGAUAAACUGGAGGAAGGUGGGGAUGACGUCAAGUCAUCAUGGCCCUUACGAGUAGGGCUACACACGUGCUACAAUGGCGCAUACAAAGAGAAGCGACCUCGCGAGAGCAAGCGGACCUCAUAAAGUGCGUCGUAGUCCGGAUUGGAGUCUGCAACUCGACUCCAUGAAGUCGGAAUCGCUAGUAAUCGUGGAUCAGAAUGCCACGGUGAAUACGUUCCCGGGCCUUGUACACACCGCCCGUCACACCAUGGGAGUGGGUUGCAAAAGAAGUAGGUAGCUUAACCUUCGGGAGGGCGCUUACCACUUUGUGAUUCAUGACUGGGGUGAAGUCGUAACAAGGUAACC
Molecule: ribosomal RNA, 730 nt
Filed under: uncultured bacterium
Lineage: Bacteria
Description: bacterial SSU rRNA
Rfam family: Bacterial small subunit ribosomal RNA
Source: RNAcentral